UACGUAGGGUGCAAGCGUUGUCCGGAAUUAUUGGGCGUAAAGAGCUCGUAGGCGGUUUGUUGCGUCGGCUGUGAAAUCCCGAGGCUCAACCUCGGGUCUGCAGUCGAUACGAGCAAACUAGAGUGUUGCAGGGGAGACUGGAAUUCCUGGUGUAGCGGUGAAAUGCGCAGAUAUCAGGAGGAACACCGGUGGCGAAGGCGGGUCUCUGGGCAACAACUGACGCUGAGGAGCGAAAGCGUGGGGAGCGAUCAGG
RNAcentral lists this ribosomal RNA (253 nucleotides) under uncultured bacterium. Its description in RNAcentral is "partial 16S ribosomal RNA". It matches the Rfam family "Bacterial small subunit ribosomal RNA", at positions 524 to 776 of the family's 1533-position model. The record is from RNAcentral.